UACGAAGUGGGCUAGCGUUGCUCGGAAUCACUGGGCGUAAAGGGUGCGUAGGCGGGGUUUUAAGUCAGGGGUGAAAUCCUGGAGCUCAACUCCAGAACUGCCUUUGAUACUGAAGAUCUUGAGUUCGGGAGAGGUGAGUGGAACUGCGAGUGUAGAGGUGAAAUUCGUAGAUAUUCGCAAGAACACCAGUGGCGAAGGCGGCUCACUGGCCCGAUACUGACGCUGAGGCACGAAAGCGUGGGGAGCAAACAGG
Molecule: ribosomal RNA, 253 nt
Filed under: uncultured bacterium
Lineage: Bacteria
Description: partial 16S ribosomal RNA
Rfam family: Bacterial small subunit ribosomal RNA
Source: RNAcentral